Long non-coding RNA from Bufo gargarizans (Asiatic toad), 5151 nucleotides. RefSeq lists it as uncharacterized. The transcript has 4 exons. The record is from RefSeq and is a predicted model, not a curated record. Lineage: Eukaryota; Metazoa; Chordata; Amphibia; Anura; Bufonidae.
CCCCCUCCACUCUUCAUGCACCACACCCUUCAGCUCCAGAGACGAGUGAGAUGGGGAUGUGUCUGCAGCACCAGGGAGGGACGGUGUCUGAGAGGUCCCCUGCACCCCGCAAUCCUAAAUUGAGAAGCACCCGUCCGACAAACACAAGAGGAGAUAGGAAGAUGGAGAUACGCACCCAUCUAAUGUGGAACCGGAGAAAACAACAAAGAAACAAGAGAUGACGUGGCCCACCAUGUGGAGGAUGUGGGACUUCCCACUAAGAUCUGCGAACGCUCACCAAUCUUCUUGGAAACCGGAAUUCUCCAUCCUCCAAAUCUCUGUUUCACCAAUAAGUGAAGUGGAGAUUAUGUUCCUCAUGUCCACUGCCAAACUAGGAAUGGACUCAAACAUUCAAACUAUUGACGAGAGAACACCUGCAAAUCUAUACAUGCCUUAAUCAUAUACUAUAAAAUAAUAUACUAUGUUAUAUAAUUGCCUUAUAAUAGGACAUCAACCUUUGAUUGCUGGGUUCCCACAUCCGUGAAUGAAAGUGCCAUAGCAUUUGCUGUUUUACCCAACACAGCGACAGCUAUGUUAAUGUGGCUGGUACUGCAGCUCAGCCCAUUCAAGGGAAGGCCACAAAGCAUGGUUGAGUUGCAGUACUUAGCAGAGCCAUACCCACAUGUCAUUUUGCUGGGUACUGCAGUAUAGAAGUCUAUAAACUGGCUUCUCUGUUUGGGUACUGCCCGAGGGUGAAGCUGGCAAAAUUGUGUGGCCAUUGGCUGCUGCAGGUGGGAUUGGCUUGGCUGUAUGCUGUCAGCUGCAAAAUCUGGUUGUAUCAUUGGAAAGUGUGGGUAUUCCUGCCAUAAGGUGAUGUCUGCAAAACAUAUUUUUUUUUUCAGUGUUGGAACUGUUACAGUUUUUUUCUAAAUCUUCAGAUGUCUUCCAAGGAUUUUCGACCUAUGCCGACAACCUGACAGGAUAGAUGGCAAUGUUCCCCAUUCCCCAUCCUAAUCUUGGCUAACCACUACUCAAGCUUAAUGUCCUCUGCAAUGCCUCCUCUGUGUCCAUAUAACGGUCCUCAGCUUGUUUUCUUCCGGCGCUGCAUGGGCAUAGUUACAUGCUCCACUGCAGCCAGUGAGCGGCUUCAGCAGUGACGUGCUGCUUCUGCCCAUGGCACCAUUGAAGUCAGUCAUUGGCUGCAGUGGAGUAUAUGAUCAUGCAGCACCUAAAAAAAAAAGCCGUAGACCGGAACAUGAACAAACUGGAGGCAUUGUGGAGGACCAAAGAGGCAGGGAGCAGAUAAGCAUGAAUCUUCUGUUUACGGAGGUAGGCUGCAGGCACUUCCAGAAAAAUAAAUCAGUAUUCCUGGAGAACCCCUUUAAAAAAAAAAACACUGAAAAACUAUUUAUUGUACCAAUAAAACUGCAGCUCAUCCCACAAAUAAACAAACCCUAGUACAGCUCUAUCAAUGAAAGAAAACAAAAUUGUUAUAGAUCUCAGGAUAUGGCCAGAGAAAACAAACAUUUUACAAUUUUAUAUUUUUGUAUUGUGCAAAAUAGUAAACCUAGAUUAAAAAGAAAAACUAUCACUAUUGUCUAGUAUAACACAUACAUAAAUAGAAGGCAGGAAGGUGUUUAAAAAAAAACUUCUAAUAGAUGAUUCAUAUUGAAAAGUAAUUGCCUCUUUCUUCUAUUUAUUGUAUGAAAACUACUUUGUUUCAUUUAUAUUUACUUUUUGUUGUGUCGAUGGUGGAACGCUGCGGGGGAGGCGGGUUGUUAUUUGAUAGUCACCGACUUUUAGUCAGAAUAGCAGAUUUUUGGACACCUUACCCAUUUCUUUGUAUGUUGACCUUGACUGACCUAAUACAUAAAGUUAAAACAAAACCAUCACUCACCUUUUUAAGUUCUGAUGCUGUAGCUCCCGGUUGUACAUGGAAGUGAUAAGGCCUCGUUCUUGGUCACAAGACCACUGCAGCCAAUCCCUGGCUCAGUGGUCACAUGUGGAAAAACGUCACGUCACUGCUAAGACUCAGCAGUGGAAUGGGGCUGGAAAAGAAAGAUUAAAAAAGUGAUAUUUUUUCACAAUUUGUGGUAUCACGAGAAUGUUUUGUAUGGAAUUUUUUGAACACCAGUACACACUACAGUGCUCUGCAAUAGAUAACAAUGAUGUGAUCUUACCUACGAUAUGCCUUCAUGGCUGAACAGCCUGACAGGAACGCUCACCAAUGUGUAGUACCGUAUAUGCAAGUGCAAUAGAGUAGUGUAUAGGGAGGCCCUACCCCCUUAGGCAGCUGUGCCAGAGGACGCAACCAGUCCUGCUCACAUUCUAGGAUAGGUUGCUUUGUGGCCAUUUUAAAUCAUUGCCGGAGAACCCCUUUAAGGGUACUUUCACACUUGCGGCAUAGGAUCCGGCAAUACGGACACAAACGGAUGCAUUUGUCAGAUGGAUCCUGAUGUGGAUCCGUCUAACAAAUGCAUUGCAAUACCGGAUCCGUCUUUCCGGUUGUCAUCAAAACUUUUUUUUUACGGUAUUGAGCCCCUGUGACGGAACUCAAUACCGGAAAAUAAACGUUUUUCCCAUAACAUGUAUAGUAUAGGUGAUACUGGGACCACCACCAAUUACAAAAAUGUGAGUCCCCAAGUCCGCUACCCUAUUGUUUGGGACGGACAGAGAUAGCUGAACACUAUACUCAUCAGUCACAUAGAAGUGAAUAGAGCAGUGGUCACACAUGUAUGUUAUUUCGAAUUUGAGAUCUAUUUGUCUUUUAGAUACUCCAUGUAAUUCCAUCCCAAAUAAAAUUAAGUUUGAGUGUUUUUUCUUCCUUAUAAAAAUCAACACAUUCAUAAAUAUAAAUUGAAUUUUUAAAACAUUUUGAAAGCUUUUCCAAAUGUACCAGAUGGAUGAUGAGUGCUAUUCUAAUAUUUGAUGCCAAGAGCUUUCCUGUGUGUCUUCCAGUAGAAUUGUCCCCCUACUCCUAAGAAUUCAUAUAUUUUUGUAAUCACUUUUGUGAAACUAUAAACUGCAUUUACACUGCCUGACCGUCUGGCAGAUUAUCGGGAACAAACUUUUGUAGGAUAAUUUGCCUGUGUAAAGGUGCUGCAGAUCACCCGAAAUGUUCGUUCAUCUGGUGAAAUGAUUGUUGGUGCAGACACCUCAAUCAUGGCUCCCUGGCAGCAGAUCGAGGUGUCUCACCAGGGAUCUGCUGCCCAGAAACAAUGCAGCUGUAUGAGGACGAUGGAUAGCAGUAGCCACUUCUCGUCCUCAUACAGUGGAGGUGAUCACUGCUUGGAAAUGCAACGCUUCACCUCUGUAAUGAGCAGACAGUUGUCAGAAACUAACGCUUCCUUCCCAAUAAUUGUCUAUUCGCUGCCCCUGUGUAAAUGCAGUAUCAGAGACAUUGGUAUGGUUAUGCAUACGCUUAGAAAUGUUUUAUUCUUUAUAAUGUUACUAGUAUGUGAAUCAUCACAAGGAGAAGGGAAGAACGCAGAAAUGUCUUAUAACAAUUGGUUGUCCUUAAUGAAAUAAAAUAAUUGAAAAAAAGUGUAAAAUGCAUACAUGGCUAUAAGCUGAAUGGGGAGAAACUGUCAGGAGCCAAAGAGAGCUGUGUGUGUAGAGACUGUCAGGAGCAGGGGCGUAACCGAGCCUGGCGGAGGGGUGUUGGGCGUCAGGAGCCAGGGAGAGCUGUGCAUACAGACUGUCAGGAGCCAGGGAGUGCAGUUUAGAGACUGCCAGGAGCCAGGGAGAGCUGCAUAGAGACUGUCAGGAGCCAGGGAGAGCUGCAUAGAGACUGUCAGGAGCCAGGGAGAACUGUAUAAAGACUGUCAGGAGCCAUGGAGAGCUGUAUAGAGACUGUCAGGAGCCAGUAAGAGCUGGGCAUAGAGAAUGUCAGGAGCCAGGGAGAGCUCUGCAUAAAGAAUGUCAGGAGCCAGGGAGUGCUGCAUAGAGACUUUCAGGAGCCAGGCAGGGAGAGCUGUAUAGAGACUGUCAGGAGCCAGGGAGAGCUGUAUAGAGACUGUCAGGAGCCAGGGAGUGCUGUAUAGAGACUGUCAGGAGCCAGGGAGAGCUGUGCAUAGAGAAUGUCAGGAGCCAGGGAGUGUUGUAUAGAGACUGUCAGGAGCAGGGGCGUAACUGGGCCUGACGGAGGGGUGUUGGGCGUCAGGAGCCAGGGAGAACUGUGCAUAGAGACUGUCAGGAGCCAGGGAAAGCUGGGCAUAAAGACUGUCAGGAGCCAGGGAGAACAGGGCAUAGAGACUGUCAGGAGCCAGGGAGAGCUGUGCAUAGAGAAUGUCAGGAGCCAGGGAGAGCUGUGCAUAGAGAAUGUCAGGAGCCAGGGAGAGCUGUGCAUAGAGAAUGUCAGGAGCCAGGGAGAGCUGUGCACAGAGAAUGUCAGGAGCCAGGGAGAGCUGUGCAUAGAGAAUGUCAGCUGUAUAGAGACUGUCAGGAGCCAGGGAGAACUGUGCAUAGAGAAUGUCAGGAGCCAGGGAGAGCUGGGCAUAGACUGUCAGGAGCCAGGGAGAGCUGGGCAUAGAGACUGUCAGGAACCAGGGAGAGCUGGGCAUAGAGACUAUCAGGAGCCAGGGAGAGCUGGGCAUAGAGACUGUCAGGAGCCAGGGAGAACUGUGCAUAGAGAAUGUCAGGAGCCAGGGAGAGCUGUAUAGAGAAUGUCAGGAGCCAGGGAGAGCUGCAUAGAGAAUGUUAGGAGCCAGGGAGAGCUGUGCAUAGAGAAUGUCAGGAGCCAGGGAAAGCUGUGCAUAGAGAAUGUCAGGAGCCAGGGAGAGCUGUGCAUAGAGAAUGUCAGGAGCCAUGGAGAGCUGUGCAUAGAGAAUGUCAGGAGCCAGGGAGAGCUGGGCAUAGAGACUGUCAGGGGCCAGGGAGAACUGUGCAUAGAGAAUGUCAGGAGCCAGGGAGAGCUGUGCAUAGAGAAUGUCAGGAGCCAGGGAGAGCUGUGCAUAGAGAAUGUCAGGAGCCAGGGAGAGCUGUGAAUAGAGAAUAUCAGGAGCCAGGGAGAGCUGGGCAUAGAGACUGUCAGAGAGCCAGGGAGAGCUGUGGAUAGAGAAUGUCAGGAGCCAGGGAGAACUGGGCAUAGAGACUGUCAGGAGCCAGGGAGAACUGUGCAUAGAGAAUGUCAGGAGCCAGGGAGAGCUGGGCAUAGAGACUGUCAGGAGCCAG